CCUACGGGAGGCAGCAGUGAGGAAUAUUGGACAAUGGGCGCAAGCCUGAUCCAGCCAUGCCGCGUGCAGGAAGACGGUCCUAUGGAUUGUAAACUGCUUUUAUACAGGAAGAAACACCUCUACGUGUAGAGACUUGACGGUACUGUAUGAAUAAGCAUCGGCUAACUCCGUGCCAGCAGCCGCGGUAAUACGGAGGAUGCAAGCGUUAUCCGGAAUCAUUGGGUUUAAAGGGUCCGUAGGCGGUUUAAUAAGUCAGUGGUGAAAGCCCAUCGCUCAACGAUGGAACGGCCAUUGAUACUGUUAAACUUGAAUUAUUAGGAAGUAACUAGAAUAUGUAGUGUAGCGGUGAAAUGCUUAGAGAUUACAUGGAAUACCAAUUGCGAAGGCAGGUUACUACUAAUAUAUUGACGCUGACGGACGAAAGCGUGGGGAGCGAACAGGAUUAGAUACCCUGGUAGUCCACGCCGUAAACGAUGGAUACUAGCUGUUCGGAGCAAUCUGNGUGNGUAGAGAAGAGAGUAAGUAUACCACCGUCGGGAGGUACGUUCGCGAGAAGUAGAACGUACGAAGUAGUAGUUAGUAGGACGUGAGAGNGCGACGGACGACGACGAGGGAGGAGG
This 620-nucleotide ribosomal RNA is filed under the name uncultured bacterium. RNAcentral's name for it is "bacterial SSU rRNA". The stretch from base 1 to 532 matches the Rfam family "Bacterial small subunit ribosomal RNA", at positions 338 to 873 of the family's 1533-position model. The record is from RNAcentral.